AAGGGCACCACAAGAACGCGUGGAGCAUGUGGCUUAAUUUGACUCAACGCGGGAAAUCUUACCGGGUCCGGACACACUGAGGAUUGACAGGUGUUUCGUUUUGAUAUAGCAUUCAUAUCAAUGCUUAUUAAAAAUUUAUUUUUUUUUUAAGUAAUACAUGUGCUAUUAUACAAAACAAUUUCAAAUAUGCUAGUCCUUUCAUGAUUGUGUGAUAGGUGGUGCAUGGCCGUUCUUAGUUCGNGGAGUGAUCUGUCUGCUUAAUUGCGUUUCACUUAUGGCCACAAGUGUUUUAUAUUAAUACUGUGACCUCAUCUGUUUUUUUACAAAACGGUGAUUGCGUCCGGUAUGAUAUGCACUGUGAAGCCUCGAAGGCAACGAACGUGACCGCAGCCUCUUGUUGCCUCCCUUGNGCAAACUGCNUUGUGUUUCUGCAUAUUAUAUUUUUUAUAUACUAUGUGUUACGCUUUCAGUUUUUUGCCGCAGUUUUUUCAUUUGUAUGUAUUAUCGUUACUUCUUUGAUGAAAACAUUGCACUUGUGUAUGUGAGUCAUUAUUGUAUAUGGNUGCAUCAAUGNAGCUAUAUAUGUUUUGGUUUUGCUACAUAAGCUGUAUUUGUAUUGUCAUUAGGAAUAAUUUGUAUGUGCAUGCAUGGAAUUAACCUGCAGUGGAGGGAAACUAGAGGGACCGCUGACUCUUCAUCUAACCAGAGGAAGGUUGCGGCAAUAACAGGUCUGUGAUGCCCUUAGAUGUUCCGGGCUGCACACGUGCUACAAUGAUUAUUGCAGUGAGCAUCUUACCCCAGUUCGUGGGCACAGCUUAUAUUGUUACACUGGUAUUCCAAAGGGUGUAUACAUUAGUGUAUGUGUAUGUUUUGGUUGUUUCUUUAUUGAAGCUUCCAAUAUUUAUAUAUAUAUAUUAUGUUGUCUACCUGUCAGUGUUAGCGGGCUGAUGCAUUUUACGACCAGGCUACUUCGAAAGUAAGUAGCUAAUCAAUUCGAAGUAAUGAUUUCCUUUGCAUGUUUUAUAUAUGUCCUGUAUCUUAUGGGUGUUUUCUCUUUUUAGCGAUUACAUACUGUAUUAUAUGGUGGCAUGUGCUCCAUUAAUUCGUGGUGGGGACAGACCAUUGUUAAUUGUUGGUCUCGGUCUCAACUAGGAAUGCCUUGUACGGGUCUUUGGUUCAACAGACCACCCGGAAUAUGUCCCUGCCCUUUGUACACACCGCCCGUCGCUCUUACCGAUGGACUUCUCUGUGAGUUUGAGGGACUGGAAACUCCUUUCUAUGGAAACUUAAACGAACAGCGUGGUCUAAAGGAAAGAGAAGUCGAACAAGGCA
This 1332-nucleotide ribosomal RNA is filed under the name Vanhoeffenella sp. BIOSKAG II. Its description in RNAcentral is "bacterial SSU rRNA". It matches the Rfam family "Eukaryotic small subunit ribosomal RNA", at positions 1160 to 1801 of the family's 1831-position model. The record is from RNAcentral. Lineage: Eukaryota; Foraminifera; Astrorhizida; Astrorhizidae.